RNAcentral lists this ribosomal RNA (637 nucleotides) under fungal sp. UASWS1528. RNAcentral's name for it is "eukaryotic LSU rRNA". The stretch from base 239 to 389 matches the Rfam family "5.8S ribosomal RNA". Lineage: Eukaryota; Fungi. The record is from RNAcentral.
CCUGCGGAAGGAUCAUUAAAAAUAUAAUUAUAUAAAAUAUUAUAUAAAUAUUUUUAUUUAUAAUAAUAGAAAAAUAUAAAAAAUUUAUAUAAAUUUAAUUUAUAUAAGAUUUUUAUAUUUUUCGGUGAGAAUGAUAACUCUCACCAUUAAAAAAUUAAUAGUGUCAUAAAAAAUUAUAAUAUAAAAUUUUUAAAAUUAAUAUUGUCUAUGAAUUAUUUUUAUUUAAUAAAUAAAAUAUAACUUUUAACAAUGGAUCUCUUGGCUCUUACAUCGAUGAAGAACGCAGCGAAAUGCGAAACUAAAUGUGAAUUGCAUCUCUAGCGAGUCAUCAUGUCUUUGAACGCACUUUGCACUAUAAGUUUACUUAUAGUAUAUUUGUUUGAGUUCUUUAUAAGAAUAAUCUAUUAAAAAUUUAUUUUUAAUAGGAAUUGAAAGUGUCAAUAUUAGUAAAUAAAAUUGAACUUUUGAAAUUUUAAAUUUUUAUUUAAUAAAAUUUUAAACUAGAAAAAUAUUUAAAUUAUUAAAUAUUUCACUGGGGAAAAAUAAUAUAAAUUUAUAUUUAUAUUAUUUUUAAAUAAAACUUUGGUGAUAUAUUUCGUUUUUUAUAUAAAUAUUUUCUUAAUAAAUUUAAAAUUUU